This 900-nucleotide unclassified non-coding RNA is filed under the name Hevea brasiliensis (rubber tree). The record is from RNAcentral. Lineage: Eukaryota; Viridiplantae; Streptophyta; Magnoliopsida; Malpighiales; Euphorbiaceae.
UGUGAAUGUUCAGGUCCUGUUAUACACAAAGCAAUGCAUUCUAUAACUAGUUUGAUUCCAAACACAUUUCUAUACAGUAAUAUGAGAGAUGUAGCUGUGGAUUAAAACUUGCCUUGGCAAGUAAAAUGUUGUUAAGGGACAUCCACAGUUCCUAGACAAUAGGAUGCCAGGUAAUUUUACUCACAUCAACCCAUUCUUUAACUAAUAAUAAGCAUAAACCAUUGCAAUCAUGUAUAUAGAAAUCAAAAAUAAUUAAGGCUUUAAUGAAUGAUGCUCAGAAUAAUGGCAGUGUUUUCUUUUUAUCCCUGUACUUUUGAAGCACAAGUAGUCAUGAAUUGCAUUACACUUUCUUCAACACUUGUGAAUGCAUCUGUACUCACAUCAACUGUCCAAUCCUUCAAAUCUUGCAUGUGCAAUAGUUCCCCUGCUCUUACUUUUGCAUUUGGAUGAGCAAGCUUGGAUUCAAAAGGAGUCCUUGGCCUGACCUCUCAAAUCUCCUCCCAUUCCUCACGUGUAAGCAUCCUAACAGUGCCUUGACCUGGAGGAGCAUUAUUUUUUUCGCGUUCAAUCAUUUCUUCUUGUUUUGAGGAGUCAUGCAUCAUGAGGAGCUUUGCAAAGAGCGCAGUAACAACAACAGGGAGAAUCAUCGGCAUAGUUGCUUUGUCAAGGAACGAUUUUGAUUCAGGGACCUCACACAUAACUCGUCGGUAUUGGGAUUCUUCUUUUUCCUCAUCUUCUCCAAUUCAAAAUCCUUCUCUUCAAGGUUUCUGAGGGGCCAUCACGAGACAGAGUAUGCAAUCCCCUUCAACACAGGAAAAGCGUCUCUCUAGCCCCAUACAUGAUAAGAACUUACAGAAGCAUUGCCCAUUAAUGCUCUGUAGCCUUUUUGUUUUAACUUAU